UCACAAGAUGGCAACGUAACUUCAGGA
RNAcentral lists this small RNA (27 nucleotides) under Bombyx mori (domestic silkworm). Its description in RNAcentral is "ovarian small RNA-24968". Lineage: Eukaryota; Metazoa; Arthropoda; Insecta; Lepidoptera; Bombycidae. The record is from RNAcentral.